UUCCCACAUCCAGGAGGGCCAUAGAAAAGAACCCCCUUAGAGGGUGACAUUCCAAACUUCUCAAAUUUCUCAGGAUGCUCCACUGGAUAUUGAACAGUCUCUUGAAGCUCUCGCUUAACAUUCUCAAGACCUCCAAUAUCUUCCCAGCUCACAUUAGGCACUUCAACAACUGUUUCACGCAAAGCAGAUGGGUUGCUUGUUCCAAGUGCAGUUUGGAAGUGUUCAUUA
This 228-nucleotide unclassified non-coding RNA is filed under the name Hevea brasiliensis (rubber tree). The record is from RNAcentral. Lineage: Eukaryota; Viridiplantae; Streptophyta; Magnoliopsida; Malpighiales; Euphorbiaceae.